AUACGUAGGGGGCGAGCGUUGUCCGGAAUGAUUGGGCGUAAAGGGCGCGUAGGCGGCCCGGUAAGUCUGGAGUGAAAGUCCUGUUUUUGAGAUGGGAAUUGCUUUGGAUACUGUCGGGCUUGAGUGCAGGAGAGGUAAGUGGAAUUCCCAGUGUAGCGGUGAAAUGCGUAGAGAUUGGGAGGAACACCAGUGGCGAAGGCGACUUACUGGACUGUAACUGACGCUGAGGCGCGAAAGUGUGGGGAGCAAACAGGAUUAGAUACCCUGGUAGUCCACACUGUAAACGAUGAAUGCUAGGUGUAGGGGGUAUCGACCCCUUCUGUGCCGCAGUUAACACAAUAAGCAUUCCGCCUGGGGAGUACGGCCGCAAGGUUGAAACUCAAAGGAAUUGACGGGG
This 397-nucleotide ribosomal RNA is filed under the name uncultured bacterium. RNAcentral's name for it is "partial 16S ribosomal RNA". It matches the Rfam family "Bacterial small subunit ribosomal RNA", at positions 523 to 918 of the family's 1533-position model. The record is from RNAcentral.